This 468-nucleotide ribosomal RNA is filed under the name uncultured bacterium. Its description in RNAcentral is "partial 16S ribosomal RNA". It matches the Rfam family "Bacterial small subunit ribosomal RNA", at positions 28 to 507 of the family's 1533-position model. The record is from RNAcentral.
GAUGAACGCUGGCGGCGUGCUUAACACAUGCAAGUCGAACGGAAAGGCCGAAGCUUGCUUCGGUACUCGAGUGGCGAACGGGUGAGUAACACGUGGGUGAUCUGCCCUGUACUUCGGGAUAAGCUUGGGAAACUGGGUCUAAUACCGGAUAUGACGAUCUCUUGGAUGGGGUUGUGGAAAGCUUUUGCGGUAUGGGAUGAGCUCGCGGCCUAUCAGCUUGUUGGUGGGGUAAUGGCCUACCAAGGCGUCGACGGGUAGCCGGCCUGAGAGGGUGUACGGCCACAUUGGGACUGAGAUACAGCCCAGACUCCUACGGGAGGCAGCAGUGGGGAAUAUUGCACAAUGGGCGCAGGCCUGAUGCAGCGACGCCGCGUGGGGGAUGACGGCCUUCGGGUUGUAAACUCCUUUCGCAAUCGACGAAGCCUUUUGGUGACGGUAGGUUGAGAAGAAGCACCGGCUAACUACGUG